UACGAAGGGGGCUAGCGUUGCUCGGAAUCACUGGGCGUAAAGCGCACGUAGGCGGAUUGUUAAGUCAGGGGUGAAAUCCUGGAGCUCAACUCCAGAACUGCCUUUGAUACAGCACGUCUCGAGUCCGGAAGAGGUGGGUGGAAUUCCUAGUGUAGAGGUGAAAUUCGUAGAUAUUAGGAAGAACACCGGUGGCGAAGGCGGCCCACUGGUCCGGUACUGACGCUGAGGUGCGAAAGCGUGGGGAGCAAACAGG
This 253-nucleotide ribosomal RNA is filed under the name uncultured bacterium. RNAcentral describes it as "partial 16S ribosomal RNA". It matches the Rfam family "Bacterial small subunit ribosomal RNA", at positions 524 to 776 of the family's 1533-position model. The record is from RNAcentral.